Molecule: non-coding RNA, 156 nt
Filed under: Striatella unipunctata
Lineage: Eukaryota; Bacillariophyta; Striatellaphyceae; Striatellales; Striatellaceae
Source: RNAcentral
CACGCAACACUUAGAAAUUAUAAAUUUAGAAAUGCUUUGAGCUUAAUUAACCAAAGGCAUAAAGCACGAAAGAAAAAGCAUGAAAGCAUUCACUACCCAUAUUCAUUUACAUCGAUAAUUCACUUGUUUUCCUUUUACCUCUUUUUUUCUUCUUUU